Molecule: ribosomal RNA, 253 nt
Filed under: uncultured bacterium
Lineage: Bacteria
Description: partial 16S ribosomal RNA
Rfam family: Bacterial small subunit ribosomal RNA
Source: RNAcentral
UACGUAGGGGGCAAGCGUUGUCCGGAAUCAUUGGGCGUAAAGAGCGUGUAGGCGGCUUGGUAAGUCCGCUGUGAAAGUCCAGGGCUCAACCCUGGAAUGCCGGUGGAAACUGUCAAGCUUGAGUCCGGAAGAGGCGAGUGGAAUUCCUGGUGUAGCGGUGAAAUGCGAAGAUAUCAGGAGGAACACCAAUGGCGAAGGCAGCUCGCUGGGACGGUACUGACGCUGAGACGCGAAAGCGUGGGGAGCAAACAGG